Long non-coding RNA from Xyrauchen texanus (razorback sucker), 232 nucleotides. RefSeq lists it as uncharacterized. The transcript has 3 exons. The record is from RefSeq and is a predicted model, not a curated record. NCBI's taxonomy places the organism in Eukaryota, Metazoa, Chordata, Actinopteri, Cypriniformes, Catostomidae.
UUCCGCACCCGGAAGAGAAUGAGCAUUUUCGAGCCGGUGGUACCAUUUGGAAUAACUGCAAUGUUUUGUAGUCCCUUCUGAAAUUCGGGUCUCCCUCUGACAUCACAGCAGUUCCCUUGGCUGAGGGACCUAAUUAAUGGCAAUGGCGGCUCGUGGAGCCUCUCAAUAGUUCCCGGAAGUAGCAGCAAACACCGUAGUGAUGCAUCAGAACAAACCGUUUGCGACGCACUUU